This is a long non-coding RNA of Xenia sp. Carnegie-2017, 201 nucleotides long. RefSeq lists it as uncharacterized. The record is from RefSeq and is a predicted model, not a curated record. The transcript is spliced from 3 exons. NCBI's taxonomy places the organism in Eukaryota, Metazoa, Cnidaria, Anthozoa, Malacalcyonacea, Xeniidae.
CAAAGUGGAGAUAUUGCUGAAAAUUAUGACAAGCACCAAGAGUUAACCACCAAAACACAGGAUUCUGAAGAUAUUUUUAUCAAGCAAUCUAUCUCUAUUAUUACAGAGGAAUCUAAACAACCAUGUCAACAUAGUCAAAGUCAUUUGUCACCCACUGGCCACUAUACUGGGCUAUUGUUACAGUUUGACUUUGCAUCAAAU